UACAGAGGUCUCAAGCGUUGUUCGGAUUCAUUGGGCGUAAAGGGUGCGUAGGCGGCGCGGUAAGUCGGGUGUGAAAUCUCGGGGCUUAACUCCGAAACUGCAUUCGAUACUGCCGUGCUUGAGGACUGGAGAGGAGACUGGAAUUUACGGUGUAGCGGUGAAAUGCGUAGAUAUCGGGAGGAACACCAAUUGCGAAGGCAGCUCGCUGGGACGUUACUGACGCUGAGACGCGAAAGCGUGGGGAGCGAACAGG
Molecule: ribosomal RNA, 253 nt
Filed under: uncultured bacterium
Lineage: Bacteria
Description: partial 16S ribosomal RNA
Rfam family: Bacterial small subunit ribosomal RNA
Source: RNAcentral